RNAcentral lists this long non-coding RNA (327 nucleotides) under Lathyrus oleraceus (garden pea). RNAcentral's name for it is "Pisum sativum (pea) long non-coding RNA (PSAT_LNC003377)". The record is from RNAcentral. Lineage: Eukaryota; Viridiplantae; Streptophyta; Magnoliopsida; Fabales; Fabaceae.
AAACACAUUUCAAAACCUUCGUCUAGACUCCCUCUUUCAUAAUCUUAUGUCAAAACCUCAAGAUUCCUAGCCUAUAGAUAAAACUGAGGCAAACCUAUCAUGAAACCUAGGUACGACUUCUUGCAAUUAAACAACACAGAGGAGGAAUCAAAGCCCGACUGCUUAUGGCUUUGAUUCCUCAAGCCUAAUACUACAUGGGGGUAACACAAUCAGCUCGAAUUGACAAAGAAAUCGAAGAACUCAUAGACGAGGCGGAGAAUGGCCUCAGAGUCAUAGGAGUUGAAAAAGAAUGAACUUGAAGAAUGAAAGAAGCUUAAUGAUAUAUGU